GCCAGCAUGGCAUCGUGGUUUGAGUGCUGGAUUAAGACUCUGGAGACCAGGGUUCGAAUCCCCAUUGAGCCA
Phrynosoma platyrhinos (Desert horned lizard) is the source of this 72-nucleotide non-coding RNA. The record is from the annotation of a GenBank genome assembly. Lineage: Eukaryota; Metazoa; Chordata; Lepidosauria; Squamata; Phrynosomatidae.